GUUAAGAAAACAUUACUUAAUUAUUUAUCCUGAAACACUUAGGCACAGUUUGAUAAAUGAAAAAUUUCCCUAGAAAAUGGAAAAUCAAUUUGAACUUCAAUUUUAAGGGUGUUUGAUAGCCAAAAUUUUCCAUAGAACUCAUAUUCCAACUUUCUUGCCACAUAAGCCAAUUUCCAGCUUUUCCUUGAAUUGUAUAUGGUGAGAAUUCCAAUUUCCAGCUACUGCAGCGUGUCUUUUUUAUUUUUUUUUUAUUUUUAUUUUUUUGACAAUGGAAACAAAUUUUAAGAAUUAUUGUAAAAAAAUAUUUUCCUUUAAUUGACAAUUUCCAUGUAAAACAAAGUCAAACGAACGCUAAAAGACAGAUGAUUUUAUUUUAUUUUUUGGCAAUGGAAAUAAAUUUCAUCCCCAGUAACAAUAUAUUAAAUCCCUUUAAUUAACAAUUUUCAUAUAAAAUAAAAUCAAAAGAAUAUCAAAAAACACUUUUAUUUCAACAUUUUCCACAUGAAAAAUUAUACCAAUCAAACCCAAUAAUUUACAAUUUUCUGAAAAACAAUUUUUAAGCAAUUCAAUUUCCUGAAAUUCAUUUUCUUUUCACUCAAAUUCCAUCUUCGCAAUCAAACAAACCCUUACUAUAACCCUUAAAAAAAUUCAAAAGAAGCUGCUUCGUAUAUAAUUUCAAAUAUUAGUGCAUGUUUGGUAGCAUUUUUUCACCUCAAAAAAUCAAUUUUUUGGCCGUUAUUUCACUAUUCCAACCGUCAUUUUUGAUUUUUUCACUCACAGGUGAGACUCACUUUUAUCUCUAACGGUUAAAAAAUCAAUUCCCAUAAUCACUGCCGAACAAACCCUUAAUUUACAUGCAAUGUAUCUACGGUCAAUUAUAUGCAUAACAAUUCACACUACUAAUUUAGGCUAAUAAACCAGCAGAAAAUAAUGCAGACUGUACUACAAGUCUAUGCUGAUGAACAGAAUCUCCACAUUUCUAGAGCAUAUGGAAGUUACAAUUUAAAUUAACAGAAAGAGUUGAGCUUGAAAUACUCGACAGACAGAGUUACCUCCAAUUUCUCUAGCAGGUCAUGGAUCGUUGAAUUAGCCAAACUAUGAUACUUCUCUUCCGGCAGCAGAGAACUGAACAUGUAUUGAUAUAUUAGCUGCGUGUUAAAAUCUUUAGUGAUCAUCAAAUUUCCAAAAACCAACAAAAUUCGGAAAGAAAUCCCAAACUAAAAUUUAACCAAAAGAAAGGACAAUAACAAGUAUAAAAU
Molecule: long non-coding RNA, 1259 nt
Filed under: Olea europaea (common olive)
Lineage: Eukaryota; Viridiplantae; Streptophyta; Magnoliopsida; Lamiales; Oleaceae
Description: long non-coding RNA (OEUR_LNC011431)
Source: RNAcentral